Molecule: non-coding RNA, 70 nt
Organism: Lingula anatina
Lineage: Eukaryota; Metazoa; Brachiopoda; Lingulata; Lingulida; Lingulidae
Source: the annotation of a RefSeq genome assembly
GGGAUUGAUUUGGUUUUGGCAAGUGUCUUCUAAACACAUUGUCGGUGGGUUCGAUUCCCCCCCUCUCCCU